GGGCCGUAACUAGGGUUUGAAUUCAGGGGAGGCAGGGGUUUGGAGGCCGCCUACUGAGGCCCUCAAGAUAAGGGGUAGGGGAAUGCGCCCCCCUCCCCCCGCCGAUUUUUUUCUCUCAGUAAAAUGGGUAAAAUGACCCUUUUCCUUACUUUAGGAAACAUCGGUAUUACUUGAAACUUGAAACAAUUUUUAUGCAAAAACAAGCUUAGGUUGCUGUUCGGGGUGUGCGAAGGCUCCGUCCUGAAGGCCGUACUUUAGCCUAUAAUUAUUAACAUUAAAUACAUCGUGACCGCAGAUUUUUUUUGGUUUUCUCUCAUUAAAAUCAGUGGCUAAAAAUGACCCGUUUUCCUUCGAUUUCCAUCAGUAUUGCUGGAUCCUGGAAGCAAUUUUUAUGCAAACAAUUAUUAACUGUAUUUAAAGAUUAUUUUGUUAGAAAUCAAACUGGUAAGUUAAAAAAAACAACAUAUAAAGCAAGAUCAUAGAACGUAAGAUAUUCUUUUUAUCGAGGACCUUGAAUUUCAAUAUUGUUGAAAGCUGAACAGACAUGUAUAUAACUACAACCAGAUAAUAUUUCUAUACUAGUAUAUAUUUAGUAUAGAAAGUCCCUGCUACAACGAAUGAGAGUGUUAAACUACUGAGGCAUUGACCAUAAGGAUAUUGUUGUUCUCGUACGAUCGGCAGACGUUAAAAAAAUAUUCCAAC
Molecule: long non-coding RNA, 702 nt
Filed under: Mytilus galloprovincialis (Mediterranean mussel)
Lineage: Eukaryota; Metazoa; Mollusca; Bivalvia; Mytilida; Mytilidae
Source: RNAcentral